UCCUUGUAAUAUAACUAUUAUACUGGCCUUGUAAACCAGAAAUGGAGCCAACCCCUCCCUAGGAC
RNAcentral lists this transfer RNA (65 nucleotides) under Tupaia minor. Its description in RNAcentral is "tRNA-Thr". Lineage: Eukaryota; Metazoa; Chordata; Mammalia; Scandentia; Tupaiidae. The record is from RNAcentral.